AGCAAAGUUUAAAACAUUUGGUGGACUCCCGUAUAACUGUUACACAAAACUAUAUGAUACAAUGGUUUGGAGUGUUAUUAACUAUGGUGUUUCAAUCUGGGGUACAAAACAUUUCCCAUGUAUUGCUGCCGUACAAAAUCGAGCAGCUCGUUUCUUUAUGUGUGUAGGACGAUAUACGCCCAAUACAGCCGUACAUGGGGAUAUUGGUUGGACUCCGGUUAUAGUAAAACAAUGGAAAUCUGUGCUAAAUCAGUGGAAUAGACUUCGAAAUUUUGAUAGUGGACGAUUGAAUAAAAGGGUCUUUGUAUGGGCUGACAGUCAAGCCUUUUCAAACGCCAAAAACUGGAACUUUAAAAU
RNAcentral lists this long non-coding RNA (357 nucleotides) under Mytilus galloprovincialis (Mediterranean mussel). The record is from RNAcentral. Lineage: Eukaryota; Metazoa; Mollusca; Bivalvia; Mytilida; Mytilidae.